Molecule: ribosomal RNA, 424 nt
Filed under: uncultured bacterium
Lineage: Bacteria
Description: bacterial SSU rRNA
Rfam family: Bacterial small subunit ribosomal RNA
Source: RNAcentral
GUGGGGGAUAUUGCACAAUGGGCGAAAGCCUGAUGCAGCGACGCCGCGUGAGGGAAGACGGUUUUCGGAUUGUAAACCUCUGUCUUCGGGGACGAAAAUGACGGUACCCGAGGAGGAAGCCACGGCUAACUACGUGCCAGCAGCCGCGGUAAUACGUAGGUGGCAAGCGUUGUCCGGAAUUACUGGGUGUAAAGGGAGAGUAGGCGGGAUUGCAAGUCCGUUGUUAAAUCUAUCGGCUUAACCGGUAGCUGCGGCGGAAACUGUAGUUCUUGAGUGAAGUAGAGGCAGGCGGAAUUCCUAGUGUAGCGGUGAAAUGCGUAGAUAUUAGGAGGAACACCAGUGGCGAAGGCGGCCUGCUGGGCUUUAACUGACGCUGAGGCUCGAAAGUGUGGGGAGCAAACAGGAUUAGAAACCCUAGUAGUCC